AACGCACGAGACCUGCGGACCUGCGGAAGGAUCAUUAGUGAACGCCCUCACGGGCUUAUAACUAUUCCAAACCUCUGUGAACCGUGCCCUUCGGGGCUAUUUUACAAACAUGGUGUAAUGAGCGUCAUAUAUCAUAACAAAACAAAACUUUUAGCAACGGAUCUCU
RNAcentral lists this unclassified non-coding RNA (166 nucleotides) under soil metagenome. RNAcentral describes it as "partial contains 5.8S ribosomal RNA, internal transcribed spacer 2, and large subunit ribosomal RNA". The record is from RNAcentral.